AUUGAACGCUGGCGGCAGGCCUAACACAUGCAAGUCGAACGAGUGGCGGACGGGUGAGUAAUGUCUGGGAAACUGCCUGAUGGAGGGGGAUAACGACUGGAAACGGUAGCUAAUACCGCAUACCAUCGGAUGUGCCAAGAUGGGAUUAGCUAGUAGGUGGGGUAACGGCUCACCUAGACGACGAUCCCUAGCUGGGCGUCUAGGCUGACCGGCCACACUGGAACUGUGACACGGUCCAGACUCGUACGGUAGGCAGCAGUUGGGAAUAUUGCACAAUGGGCGCAAGUCUGAUGCAGCCAUGCCGCGUGUAUGAAGACGGCCUUCGGGUUGUAAAGGACUUUCAGCGGGGAGGCGUUACCCGCAGAAGAAGCACCGGCUAACUCCGUGCCAGCAGCCGCGGUAAUAC
This 406-nucleotide ribosomal RNA is filed under the name uncultured bacterium. RNAcentral describes it as "partial 16S ribosomal RNA". It matches the Rfam family "Bacterial small subunit ribosomal RNA", at positions 30 to 526 of the family's 1533-position model. The record is from RNAcentral.